GAUGAACGCUGGCGGCGUGCUUAACACAUGCAAGUCGAACGAAGAGGCCCAGCUUUUUGGGGGGGUUCGUGGGGAGCGGGGGAGUGACACGCGAGUAUACCCCCCCCAUAUCUGAGAUAUACCUCGGGGAAAGGGUGGAAUAUAGCGUAGAUGAGUUCAUGCUGCGGUGGGUGCUGGGGAGAGUUAUGGCGGUUGGGGAUGGACUCGCGGCUUAUCAGCUUGUUGGAGAGGUAGUGGCCCACCAAGGCGUCGACGGGUAGCCGGCCUGAGAGGGUGACCGGCCACACUGGGACUGAGACACGGCCCAGACUCCUACGGGAGGCAGCAGUGGGGAAUAUUGCACAAUGGGCGGAAGCCUGAUGCAGCGACGCCGCGUGCGGGAUGACGGCCUUCGGGUUGUAAACCGCUUUCGCAGGUGACGAAGCGGGAGUGACGGUACCUGCUGAAGAAGCACCGGCUAACUACGUG
This 468-nucleotide ribosomal RNA is filed under the name uncultured bacterium. RNAcentral's name for it is "partial 16S ribosomal RNA". It matches the Rfam family "Bacterial small subunit ribosomal RNA", at positions 28 to 507 of the family's 1533-position model. The record is from RNAcentral.